Molecule: long non-coding RNA, 712 nt
Filed under: Citrus x clementina
Lineage: Eukaryota; Viridiplantae; Streptophyta; Magnoliopsida; Sapindales; Rutaceae
Description: Citrus clementina (C. clementina) long non-coding RNA (CCLE_LNC003095)
Source: RNAcentral
ACCCAUGAGAGUAAAAAAAAAAGAAUUGAUUUACAAAUCAACUAUUAAAUAAACAUCUAACAAAAACUUUAUAAGCUGAAUAGGUUAGCUCCAUUUGUGUAUUAUCGGGGCUAAUAUAAUAAUGACCAUAAUUGAGGCAAACUCGCGUUGAAAUUAAAAUUUAAAGACAAAGCAGAUUUUGUUGUUCCGUAAAUCCACGUUAGUCAUAAUUAAUCAUCCCCUUCAAAUUGCCAAGGGUUAAUGAAUAUAACAGGAAAUCGGUGGUGAAGUGGCCCGUGUUUCCUCUAGAAACAGCAGCAAAGCCAAAGAGUCGACGAGUGGUUUACCAUAUCCAUCUGUCCCCAUAAAGCGUGCCGCGGCGGGUGCUCAGACUCAAAAAGCCAUCCAAUCUACUUACUAUUUUUCUGCCACGCCUACCAUCGCCGUGCAAAGGCAUAAUUAUUUUCUUUUCUUUUUUUUUUAAUAAAAGACAGUCGUCAGUACAAAACAUGUAGAGGAAUCCUGAAAAUUUGAUCACGAAAAGGAAAGGAGAUAGGUAAUGGCAAAUCUUUCUUUUUGUCAUAGUUGUUGUUGUUGUCAAUUGACAAAUCACGUAUGGUCAGUAAUAGCCCUCGACAAAGAUGCCGCCAGCUGGACAGGGGACAGCCUGCCCUCCCGCCGGUCAAACCGGGUGAUGCCGUAAUAAACAAUUAAUAAAAAAAACUAGUCAUAU